This 1019-nucleotide ribosomal RNA is filed under the name Microdochium sp. 4 BRM-2015. RNAcentral's name for it is "eukaryotic LSU rRNA". The stretch from base 668 to 820 matches the Rfam family "5.8S ribosomal RNA". The record is from RNAcentral. Lineage: Eukaryota; Fungi; Ascomycota; Sordariomycetes; Xylariales; Microdochiaceae.
CGACGAUGCAGUAGAUGAUCAUCAGUAGCGCGGCGUCAUCUCUGCUGUGUGUUAUAUAAUAAUAUGUCGUCGCGUCGUGUCACAGCGCGCGACGCGCGCCCCGUUGGUAAGUUCUAUAUAUAUGGGCGACACACAAAAGAGGGGCGCGCUCUAAAAAGAGAGAGAGUGUGUAGAAAUCAUCCCCCCCGAAAAUAUAUUUCCAAAAAUAUACACACAUAUACCCUUCCCCCCUUUUGCCCCCCGCGCGGUGUGUUUCUUCUCACAAAAGCCCCCGGACCCCCCCACGGGGGGACCCCCUGGUUUUUAACUUUAACCUUCCAGGGAAAACCCCAAAAUUUGGCCCCCAUUUCCCCCGGGGCGUUUUAGGCGAGCCACCCGUUAGGGGACGGGACAACCGGGGGCCAACACCGGGGAAAGGCCACCCCAUGUGUGUGUUGGGGAGGUGUGCGGGUGUUUCCGUUAAGGGGAAACCCUGGCGGGAGAGGGGAUUCCAUUAAUUGAGAGUUUUAACCUCCUCCCAAAACCCAUGUGUGAAACUUUACCCACUGUGUUGCCCUCCGGGUGGGUCGGGUGGCUGGAAAACCAGUGGCUGCCCACCGGGUGGGACUUACUUAAACUUCUUUGUUUAAUUUUUUGGUCAAUUUGAAUCAAAUUAAGAAUUAAGUUAUACUUCAACAAACGGAUCUCUUGGUUCUGGCAUCGAUGAAGAACGCAGCGAAAUGCGAUAAGUAAUGUGAAUUGCAGAAUUCAGUGAAUAUCGAAUCUUUGAACGCACAUUGCGCCCAUUAGUAUUCUAGUGGGCAUGCCUGUUCGAGCGUCAUUUCAACCCUUAAGCCUAGCUUAGUGUUGGGAGACUGCCUAAUACGCAGCUCCUCAAAACCAGUGGCGGAGUCUGUUCGUGCUCUGAGCGUAGUAAUUUUUUAUCUCGCUUCUGCAAGCCGGCCAGACGACAGCCAUAAACCGCACCCUCUCGGGGGGCACUUUUUUAAUGGUUGACCUCGGAUCAGGUAGGAUGCCGA